This 72-nucleotide transfer RNA is filed under the name Lachnospiraceae bacterium. Its description in RNAcentral is "tRNA-Gln". It matches the Rfam family "tRNA". From Rfam's summary of the family: Transfer RNA (tRNA) molecules are approximately 80 nucleotides in length. Their secondary structure includes four short double-helical elements and three loops (D, anti-codon, and T loops). RNAcentral also lists the same sequence under 2 other names. Lineage: Bacteria; Bacillati; Bacillota; Clostridia; Lachnospirales; Lachnospiraceae. The record is from RNAcentral.
AGCGCCAUAGCCAAAUGGUAAGGCAACGGACUCUGACUCCGUGAUUUCCAGGUUCGAACCCUGGUGGCGCUG